Molecule: ribosomal RNA, 376 nt
Filed under: uncultured bacterium
Lineage: Bacteria
Description: bacterial SSU rRNA
Rfam family: Bacterial small subunit ribosomal RNA
Source: RNAcentral
GACAGAGGCCCCAAGCGUUAGGCGGAAUCACUGGGCUUAAAGCGUGUGUAGGCGGACUUCUAAGUGCCUUGUGAAAUCCCACGGCUCAACCGUGGAACUGCUGGGCAUACUGGGAGUCUUGGGCCAUUCAGGGGCAACUGGAACAAGCGGUGGAGCGGUGAAAUGCGUAGAUAUCGCUUGGAACGCCGAAGGUGAAAACAGGUUGCUGGGGAUGUGCCGACGCUGAGACACGAAAGCCAGGGGAGCAAACGGGAUUAGAUACCCCGGUAGUCCUGGCCCUAAACGAUGUCCACUAGAUUAUGGCGCCUUUGACGGCGUCAUGGUCGAAGCAAAAGUGUUAAGUGGACCGCCUGGGAAGUACGGUCGCAAGGCUAAA